AAAUUGAAGAGUUUGAUCAUGGCUCAGAUUGAACGCUGGCGGCAGGCCUAACACAUGCAAGUCGAGCGGAAACGAGUUAUCAGAACCUUCGGGGAACGAUAACGGCGUCGAGCGGCGGACGGGUGAGUAAUGCCUAGGAAAUUGCCCUGAUGUGGGGGAUAACCAUUGGAAACGAUGGCUAAUACCGCAUGAUGCCUACGGGCCAAAGAGGGGGACCUUCGGGCCUCUCGCGUCAGGAUAUGCCUAGGUGGGAUUAGCUAGUUGGUGAGGUAAGGGCUCACCAAGGCGACGAUCCCUAGCUGGUCUGAGAGGAUGAUCAGCCACACUGGAACUGAGACACGGUCCAGACUCCUACGGGAGGCAGCAGUGGGGAAUAUUGCACAAUGGGCGCAAGCCUGAUGCAGCCAUGCCGCGUGU
This 417-nucleotide ribosomal RNA is filed under the name Vibrio parahaemolyticus. RNAcentral's name for it is "bacterial SSU rRNA". It matches the Rfam family "Bacterial small subunit ribosomal RNA", at positions 1 to 404 of the family's 1533-position model. The record is from RNAcentral. Lineage: Bacteria; Pseudomonadati; Pseudomonadota; Gammaproteobacteria; Vibrionales; Vibrionaceae.